UUCCGGUUGAUCCUGCCGGACCUGACUGCUAUCGGAUUGAUACUAAGCCAUGCGAGUCAUUGUAGCAAUACAAGGCAUACGGCUCAGUAACGCGUAGUCAACCUAACCUAUGGACGGGAAUAACCUCGGGAAACUGAGAAUAAUGCCCGAUAGAACAUUAUACCUGGAAUGGUUUAUGUUCCAAAUGAUUUAUCGCCGUAGGGUGGGACUGCGGCCUAUCAGUUUGUUGGUGAGGUAAUGGCCCACCAAGACUAUUACAGGUACGGGCUCUGAGAGGAGUAGCCCGGAGAUGGGUACUGAGACACGGACCCAGGCCCUAUGGGGCGCAGCAGGCGAGAAAACUUUGCAAUGUGCGAAAGCACGACAAGGUUAAUCCGAGUGAUUUCUGCUAAAGAAAUCUUUUGUUAGUCCUAGAAACACUAACGAAUAAGGGGUGGGCAAGUUCUGGUGUCAGCCGCCGCGGUAAAACCAGCACCUCAAGUGGUCAGGAUGAUUAUUGGGCCUAAAGCAUCCGUAGCCGGCUCUGUAAGUUUUCGGUUAAAUCUGUACGCUUAACGUACAGGCCGCCGGGAAUACUGCAAAGCUAGGGAGUGGGAGAAGUAGACGGUACUCGGUAGGAAGUGGUAAAAUGCUUUGAUCUAUCGAUGACCACCUGUGGCGAAGGCGGUCUACUAGAACACGUCCGACGGUGAGGGAUGAAAGCUGGGGGAGCAAACCGGAUUAGAUACCCGGGUAGUCCCAGCUGUAAACUAUGCAAACUCAGUGAUGCAUUGGCUUGUGGCCAAUGCAGUGCUGCAGGGAAGCCGUUAAGUCUGCCGCCUGGGAAGUACGUACGCAAGUAUGAAACUUAAAGGAAUUGGCGGGGGAGCACCACAAGGGGUGAAGCCUGCGGUUCAAUUGGAUUCAACGCCGGG
RNAcentral lists this ribosomal RNA (914 nucleotides) under uncultured marine archaeon. RNAcentral's name for it is "bacterial SSU rRNA". It matches the Rfam family "Archaeal small subunit ribosomal RNA", at positions 1 to 922 of the family's 1478-position model. The record is from RNAcentral.